This 1098-nucleotide long non-coding RNA is filed under the name Glycine max (soybean). Its description in RNAcentral is "long non-coding RNA (GMAX_LNC004069)". Lineage: Eukaryota; Viridiplantae; Streptophyta; Magnoliopsida; Fabales; Fabaceae. The record is from RNAcentral.
AAGAAAAUGCUAACUCACAGGAAGUUUAGGUCAAUAAUGGAGGAGGAGGAGAUCAAAUUGCCACAUUUUCAGAAUCCAGUCGUCAGUACCUGGAGGUAUCCUUACAUUUGCUUUACUCUAUAUAAUUGAAAUAAAUUAUUAAUAAAAUAUAAAAAUAGUAAUCUAUGUAUGAUAUAGAGUCAUGAUUACUUGUCUCAAUCGGUUAUCACGUUCUGUCUAAUACAUCCUCUUAUAUCAUAUUGAUAUCACAUUUUGUACCCAUGUGCGAUGUCUAUGUUAAGAAGACUUUGAACUUUCUGGGGUCUUUCUUAUAUCUUAUUUAUAUCGUAAUUAUUUUUUAUGAAGUAAAAAAAAACUACUUAUGUAGGAAAAAAAAAAGACUUAAUAUGUCGUUAUCUUUUUUUUUUUUCCUUAAAAAGUCUCUUCCAAAAUUUAUUUGAGUUUCAUUCACAGUUGAGUUGGCCUUGUAUCCUUUCCAGUUGGCUUUUACUUUGCCUACUCAGCGUAUAUUUGCAUGUUUCUUAUUCUUAGGUCAUUAAUAAUCUAUUAUAUGUUUUGUCUUCAUCCCAUUAGACACUUGCAAUUUUGUUUAAUUUGGACUCACUCUUUAUUUGUUUUAUUUUUUAUACUGAGAUUCACUCUUUGGUUAUUUACAACUUAGUUUAUUUUUAUAAUAUCUUAUAUUUUUCAUAUUGCCAUUUUCAUUUUUAGCAAGUGUGUCGUGUAAUAUGAUGUUCUCACAAUUAAUCUUAAUUAACCAUGUAAUUAGAAUAAAUUGUUGAAAUUAAAUAUAAGUAAAAUAGUCUGAUUAACUUGUCUCGUCGGUUGUCAUGUCCUCUUUAACACAUCCUCCUUAUCUAUAUCAUAUUGAUACCAUGUUCUGUAUCGUGCUAGUAUUCACAAAAAUUUAGUGCAAUGUCAAUGUACAGACGAAGACUUUGAGCUUCCAGCGUCUUUCUUAAAUGUUUUCCUAGCAAGUUGUGGUUUCUUUUUCCCUUUUUAUUUUGUCAUGCUACAGAGCAAGUUGGGAAAUUGUGAUUUAACAAUGUUAAUUGUAUUUGUCAGUAGUAGUUGUACAAGAAAGAUAAAGACAUAUAU